GUCCAGACUCCUACGGGAGGCAGCAGUGGGGAAUAUUGCACAAUGGGCGAAAGCCUGAUGCAGCUAUACCGCGUGUAUGAAGAAGGCCUUAGGGUUGUAAAGUACUUUCGUUGGGGAGGAAAAAUAAAUAGAUAAUACCUGUUUAUCGUGACGUUACCCAAAAAAGAAGCACCGGCUAACUCCGUGCCAGCAGCCGCGGUAAUACGGAGGGUGCAAGCGUUAAUCAGAAUUACUGGGCGUAAAGAGCUCGUAGGCGGUUUUUUAAGUCAGAUGUGAAAUCCCUGGGCUUAACCUAGGAACUGCAUUUGAAACUAAAAGACUAGAGUAUCGUAGAGGGAGGUAGAAUUCUAGGUGUAGCGGUGAAAUGCGUAGAUAUCUGGAGGAAUACCUGUGGCGAAAGCGGCCUCCUAAAUGAAUACUGACGCUGAGGUGCGAAAGCAUGGGGAGCAAACAGGAUUAGAUACCCUGGUAGUCCAUGCCGUAAACGAUGUCGACUUGGAGGUUGUUUCCUUGAGAAGUGACUUCCGAAGCUAACGCGUUAAGUCGACCGCCUGGGGAGUACGGUCGCAAGGCUAAAACUCAAAUGAAUUGACGGGGGCCCGCACAAGCGGUGGAGCAUGUGGUUUAAUUCGAUGCAACGCGAAAAACCUUACCUGGUCUUGACAUCCACAGAAUUUUUCAGAGAUGAAAAAGUGCCUUAGGGAACUGUGAGACAGGUGCUGCAUGGCUGUCGUCAGCUCGUGUUGUGAAAUGUUGGGUUAAGUCCCGCAACGAGCGCAACCCUUAUCCUCUGUUGCCAUUGGUUCGGCCAGGAACUCAGAGGAGACUGCCGGUUAUAAACCGGAGGAAGGCGGGGACGACGUCAAGUCAUCAUGGCCCUUACGACCAGGGCUACACACGUGCUACAAUGGUGUAUACAAAGAGAAGCAACUCUGCAAAGACAAGCAAACCUCAUAAAGUACAUCGUAGUCCGGACUGGAGUCUGCAACUCGACUCCACGA
This 1001-nucleotide ribosomal RNA is filed under the name Buchnera aphidicola (Prociphilus erigeronensis). RNAcentral describes it as "bacterial SSU rRNA". It matches the Rfam family "Bacterial small subunit ribosomal RNA", at positions 329 to 1323 of the family's 1533-position model. The record is from RNAcentral. Lineage: Bacteria; Pseudomonadati; Pseudomonadota; Gammaproteobacteria; Enterobacterales; Erwiniaceae.